RNAcentral lists this long non-coding RNA (205 nucleotides) under Capsicum annuum. RNAcentral describes it as "long non-coding RNA (CANN_LNC002613)". The record is from RNAcentral. Lineage: Eukaryota; Viridiplantae; Streptophyta; Magnoliopsida; Solanales; Solanaceae.
GAGGUCAAUGUAGUAGAGGUUAUGAACGUGUAAAAUUGAACAUGUCUUUAACUAUUACAUGACAUAAAGAUGUAUUUAAAAUACAGUGGUAUGAUUUAAUCAACCAAGGGAGUCAGUGUCCCCUACCUUGUAUUAAUGAACAAAGGGAGUUGUUCUCCCCAAGUUAAUGGAAAUUAUUUUGGCAUUAUUGUUACCUUGCAAGUGU